Molecule: ribosomal RNA, 510 nt
Filed under: uncultured bacterium
Lineage: Bacteria
Description: partial 16S ribosomal RNA
Rfam family: Bacterial small subunit ribosomal RNA
Source: RNAcentral
GACGAACGCUGGCGGCGUGCCUAAUACAUGCAAGUCGAGCGAAUGACGAGAAGCUUGCUUCUCUGAUUUAGCGGCGGACGGGUGAGUAACACGUGGGCAACCUGCCCUACAGAUCGGGAUAACUCAGGGAAACCUGGGCUAAUACCGGAUAAUCCUUCGAAUCACAUGUUUUGAAGUUGAAAGGCGCUUCGGCGUCACUGUAGGAUGGGCCCGCGGUGCAUUAGCUAGUUGGUGGGGUAACGGCCUACCAAGGCAACGAUGCAUAGCCGACCGGCGAGGGUGAUCGGCCACAUUGGGACUGAGACGCGGCCCAAACUCCUACGGGAGGCAGCAGUAGGGAAUCUUCCACAAUGGACGAAAGUCUGAUGGAGCAACGCCGCGUGAGUGAUGAAGGUUUUCGGAUCGUAAAACUCUGUUGUAAGGGAAGAACAAGUACGUUAGGAAAUGAACGUACCUUGACGGUACCUUAUUAGAAAGCCACGGCUAACUACGUGCCAGCCGCCGCCGUAA